AAUUCCCAGCUCUGCUCCUCUGUGAUUUCUUCAACUUUUUCAGCAUUUCACCAAUGUUCAAGAAGUAGCAGCCCCUACAGGUUGCAACAGUGGCGCCAUUGACAUGCAGCCAAACAGCCAAACAGCCAGUAAGCCUCCAGAUCAGCCAGACAGCCAUCCUCACAGACAGCCAUGACUUCCAGUCAGCCAGUUCACCAUCUGUCUGCAGGUUGGUGGGUUAUUCAUCAUUCCCAGCCCCAUGGCCACCUCUGUUUAUUGGCUGAGCUCCGGUGCCCCCUCUUUGUACCUUGGCCCCGUGUGGAGCCUGCUUCUGCCUUUCUCCUGCAGAGACCACACCUGUAUGUGAAAAUGUGAACUAUAAUAAACAUCUCUUCAAUGAUAUGCAGCCACUUCCUGUCUUCCCUGUGGCCAGUUCUCCGUCGAUUCAAUGCUCCAGUGUGGAGCCGGAAUUCAGCGACUGAAGACGUGGACCCUUUAUGUAUCAAAGCUGUGUCUUUGAA
Molecule: long non-coding RNA, 500 nt
Organism: Cynoglossus semilaevis (tongue sole)
Lineage: Eukaryota; Metazoa; Chordata; Actinopteri; Pleuronectiformes; Cynoglossidae
Exons: 3
Source: RefSeq, a predicted model, not a curated record